UUCCUGUAGCAAUACAGGGAUGGGCGCACGGCGCACGGGUGCGUAACACGUGGGCAAUCUGCCCUUUGAUGGGGAAUAACCCGCCGAAAGGCGGGCUAAUUCCGCAUAAGAUUCUUUGGACCUCGGUCUGAAGAUUGAAAGCAGCAAUGCGUCGAAGGAGGAGCCCGCGCCCGAUUAGCUAGUUGGUGAGGUAACGGCUCACCAAGGCUAUGAUCGGUAGCUGGUCUGAGAGGAUGAUCAGCCACACUGGAACUGAGACACGGUCCAGACUCCUACGGGAGGCAGCAGUGGGGAAUCUUGCACAAUGGGCGAAAGCCUGAUGCAGCGACGCCGCGUGGGGGAUGAAGCAUUUCGGUGUGUAAACCCCUUUCGACUGGGACGAAUGCCUCGCAAGAGGAGUGACGGUACCAGUAGAAGAAGCCCCGGCUAACUACGUGCCAGCAGCCGCGGUAAGACGUAGGGGGCCAGCGUUGUUCGGAAUUACUGGGUGUAAAGGGUUCGUAGGCGGUGCGGCAAGUUGGGAGUGAAAUCUCUGGGCUUAACCCAGAGGCUGCUUCCAAAACUGCUGUGCUCGAGUGUGAGAGAGGCGCGUGGAAUUGCAGGUGUAGCGGUGAAAUGCGUAGAUAUCUGCAGGAACACCCGUGGCGAAAGCGGCGCGCUGGAUCACUACUGACGCUGAGGAACGAAAGCUAGGGGAGCAAACAGGAUUAGAUACCCUGGUAGUCCUAGCCCUAAACGAUCAGGACUUGGGGUGCCGCCCGUUCGGGCGUCGUCCCGGAGCUAACGCGUUAAGUCCUGCACCUGGGGAGUACGGUCGCAAGACUGAAACUC
This 831-nucleotide ribosomal RNA is filed under the name uncultured Actinomycetes bacterium. RNAcentral's name for it is "bacterial SSU rRNA". It matches the Rfam family "Bacterial small subunit ribosomal RNA", at positions 71 to 902 of the family's 1533-position model. The record is from RNAcentral. Lineage: Bacteria; Bacillati; Actinomycetota; Actinomycetes.